AGAAUCAACGCUGGCGGCGUGCCUAACACAUGCAAGUCGCACGAGAAAGGGGCUUCGGCUCUGAGUAAAGUGGCGCACGGGUGAGUAACACGUGAAUUAUCUACCUCCGAGUGGGGAAUAACUGAGAGAAAUCUUAGCUAAUACCGCAUAACACUACGAGUCAAAGCAGCAAUGCGCUUGGAGAGGAGUUCGCGGCCGAUUAGUUAGUUGGCGGGGUAAUGGCCCACCAAGACGAUGAUCGGUA
RNAcentral lists this ribosomal RNA (244 nucleotides) under uncultured bacterium. RNAcentral's name for it is "partial small subunit ribosomal RNA". It matches the Rfam family "Bacterial small subunit ribosomal RNA", at positions 26 to 285 of the family's 1533-position model. The record is from RNAcentral.